UACGAAGGGGGCUAGCGUUGCUCGGAAUUACUGGGCGUAAAGGGCGCGUAGGCGGUUCGUACAGUCAGACGUGAAAUUCCCGGGCUCAACCUGGGGGCUGCGUUUGAUACGUGCGGGCUUGAGUUCGGAAGAGGGUCGUGGAGUUCCCAGUGUAGAGGUGAAAUUCGUAGAUAUUGGGAAGAACACCGGUGGCGAAGGCGGCGACCUGGUCCGAUACUGACGCUGAGGCGCGAAAGCGUGGGGAGCAAACAGG
RNAcentral lists this ribosomal RNA (253 nucleotides) under uncultured bacterium. RNAcentral's name for it is "partial 16S ribosomal RNA". It matches the Rfam family "Bacterial small subunit ribosomal RNA", at positions 524 to 776 of the family's 1533-position model. The record is from RNAcentral.